UGAGGAACAUGACCUUCGGCGGGGGAUAGCCGGCCCAACGGCCGGGUAAUACCGCGUACGACCACAUGGGGACAUCCCUGAGUGGUGAAAGCAGCAAUGCGCCGAUGGAGUGCCUCGCGGCCUAUCAGUUAGUUGGUGAGGUAACGGCUCACCAAGGCGACGACGGGUAGCUGGU
Molecule: ribosomal RNA, 175 nt
Filed under: uncultured bacterium
Lineage: Bacteria
Description: partial 16S ribosomal RNA
Rfam family: Bacterial small subunit ribosomal RNA
Source: RNAcentral